RNAcentral lists this transfer RNA (67 nucleotides) under Ophiura luetkenii. RNAcentral's name for it is "tRNA-Gly". The record is from RNAcentral. Lineage: Eukaryota; Metazoa; Echinodermata; Ophiuroidea; Amphilepidida; Ophiuridae.
GUCUUGUUAGUAUAACUUUGUACUACUGAUUUCCAAUCAGAGAGAUUGCUUUUAAGCAAACAAGAUA